GACGAACGCUGGCGGCGUGCUUAACACAUGCAAGUCGAGCGGAAAGGCCCCUCCUUUGGUACUCGCUCGACGAGCGAGCGGGUAACUCACGCGUGAUCUGCCCCUCACUUACGGAUGGCUACCUUCAAGAGACUUUCGUUCCUACCAUGUACGUGUUUCUCCUGCCUUGUGGUGGUAGGUUAGUCGGUGCGGGAUGUGCUCGCGGCGUAUCAGCUUGAUGGUGGGGUAGUGGCUCACCAUGGCUUCGACGGGUAGCCGGCCUGAGAGGGUGACCGGCCACACUGGGACUGAGACACGGCCCAGACUCCUACGGGAGGCAGCAGUGGGGAAUAUUGCACAAUGGGCGGAAGCCUGAUGCAGCAACGCCGCGUGAGGGAUGACGGCCUUCGGGUUGUAAACCGCUUUCAGUACCGACGAAGCGUAAGUGACGGUAGGUAGAGAAGAAGCACCGGCUAACUACGUG
RNAcentral lists this ribosomal RNA (463 nucleotides) under uncultured bacterium. RNAcentral's name for it is "partial 16S ribosomal RNA". It matches the Rfam family "Bacterial small subunit ribosomal RNA", at positions 28 to 507 of the family's 1533-position model. The record is from RNAcentral.